UACGUAGGGUGCGAGCGUUAAUCGGAAUUACUGGGCGUAAAGGGCGCGUAGGCGGCCUAUUAAGUCAGACGUGAAAUCCCUCGGCUCAACCGGGGAACUGCGUCUGAUACUGGUGGGCUUGAGUUCGGGAGAGGAAUGUGGAAUUCCAGGUGUAGCGGUGAAAUGCGUAGAUAUCUGGAGGAACACCGGUGGCGAAGGCGGCAUUCUGGACCGACACUGACGCUGAGGCGCUAAAGCCAGGGGAGCAAACGGG
RNAcentral lists this ribosomal RNA (253 nucleotides) under uncultured bacterium. RNAcentral describes it as "partial 16S ribosomal RNA". It matches the Rfam family "Bacterial small subunit ribosomal RNA", at positions 524 to 776 of the family's 1533-position model. The record is from RNAcentral.